UACGUAGGGUGCAAGCGUUAAUCGGAAUUACUGGGCGUAAAGCGUGCGCAGGCGGUUGUGCAAGUCAGAUGUGAAAUCCCCGGGCUCAACCUGGGAAUUGCAUUUGUGACUGCACGGCUAGAGUGUGUCAGAGGGGGGUAGAAUUCCACGUGUAGCAGUGAAAUGCGUAGAGAUGUGGAGGAAUACCGAUGGCGAAGGCAGCCCCCUGGGAUAACACUGACGCUCAUGCACGAAAGCGUGGGGAGCAAACAGG
This 253-nucleotide ribosomal RNA is filed under the name uncultured bacterium. RNAcentral describes it as "partial 16S ribosomal RNA". It matches the Rfam family "Bacterial small subunit ribosomal RNA", at positions 524 to 776 of the family's 1533-position model. The record is from RNAcentral.